This 69-nucleotide transfer RNA is filed under the name Callistomys pictus (painted tree-rat). RNAcentral describes it as "tRNA-Gly". The record is from RNAcentral. Lineage: Eukaryota; Metazoa; Chordata; Mammalia; Rodentia; Echimyidae.
GCUUUCUUAGUAUAAUUAGUACUACUGACUUCCAAUCAGUAAGAUCCGUAAUUUUAACGGAAGAAAGUA